AUUUAUAUUCAUCCAAAUUUUUAUAGGUGCUUUAAUAUUAUCCUGGAGACUAUUAAAGCACCUAUAAAAUUUGGAUGAAUAUAAAU
This is a non-coding RNA of Podarcis lilfordi (Lilford's wall lizard), 86 nucleotides long. Lineage: Eukaryota; Metazoa; Chordata; Lepidosauria; Squamata; Lacertidae. The record is from the annotation of a GenBank genome assembly.